GCAUCUGGCAGUCAAUUUUAGUGCAGGCGAUACGGUCUUCGGUGUAAUAAAAUUUUAUCUGUGGCAUAAAUAAAUUUGAAAUGGUUCGAGUUUGGAUUCCGUGGGACGUUUUCCGAUUUGAUUUUCUGUGAAACAAAAUAUUUUCAGUUUUUUCUACAUGUACACGCAGCCUAACAGGAAGAUUUUGUGCAAUAGAUGUGAAUGAAAGUUGUCAGCCCGAGGUGAAGCCGAGUGCAUCAUAUAUGCACAAAAUUCCGGUUUAUGCACAAGGUUGGUUUGUUCAGGGCUGAGAUCUUCAUUUUUACAAACAUCUUCUUCACGCACUAGUGCUCAUUUAUGAUAAAAUCAAUUUAGACACUGAUGUACAUAAUAGUUAUUUAUGUAACAAGAAUCGUAUGGAGGUAUAUUAUCGCACUAGAUGUCGGCUUUGCCUCGGAUUGGCAAGCUUCGUGUGUGAUAAUAUACCAACAUACGAGUGAUAAAGCAAAAAAUCAUUUCAUUUUUAUGAAGUAAGAGAUUUUGAAUCUAACGCUCUGCGAAAUCUAAAGCAAAAGAUGUAGCAGAUUGAAUGAAUGAUUG
This is a long non-coding RNA of Bradysia coprophila, 579 nucleotides long. The record is from RefSeq and is a predicted model, not a curated record. NCBI's taxonomy places the organism in Eukaryota, Metazoa, Arthropoda, Insecta, Diptera, Sciaridae.